Molecule: long non-coding RNA, 1808 nt
Organism: Brassica rapa (field mustard)
Lineage: Eukaryota; Viridiplantae; Streptophyta; Magnoliopsida; Brassicales; Brassicaceae
Source: RefSeq, a predicted model, not a curated record
GGCUAGGACAUCUUCUUCUUCAGCUAGUGUAUCUUUAGUCUCUCCUUCUCCAUCUUUAUCAACUAGCUGAUCCAUGAUCAUAUCAGUUAGGGUUUAGUGAUUAGAAUUUAGGGUUUAGUUUUAGAAGGUGAGAUGGUAUGGUUGGGGUCGAUAUUAACUUUUUCCAUAUGGACAUUUCAUAAUUUCACCAAUAUGUAUUAUAUUAGUUAUUUUGUUCCAUUUUAUUUGGGUCUAUGGUUUAUAUUUGGGUUUAUGAUUUAUAUUUGGGUUUGGGUUUAGUGAUUAGAGUUUAGGGUUUAGUAUUUAGAAGGUGAAGGGGAUGAUUGGGAUCAACAUUAACUUUUUCUAUGCAAUCAUAGACAUUUCAUAAUUUCAUAAAUAUCUACUAUGAUAUUUAUUUUGUUUCAUUCUAUUUGGGAUUAGGAUUUAUAUUUGGAUUUAAUAUUGGAAAAUAAUUUAUAGAUUAUAUUUGGGUUUAUAUAUUUUUUUUACUAGGGUUUAGAUUUAUUAAGUAGGGGUUUGGAUAUAUUAUUUAGCUCUUGUGAUUGGUUUUAUAUGUAUAGUUUCCAGCGGAUGUUUGGAUGAUGUACUAUGUCCCAGAGAUAAAAUAGCAUAUAUGCAACCGAGAUAAAAUAGUAUACGCGCAAUCUGGUAACAUUAACUUCUUCGUGCACUCAUCUUAAAAAUGGAAUGACUGAGGUUGGUAAAUGGAAUACAAAAUAUAUUGGAAAGAGAUAUAUUUUAAUCCAUCAAUUACUGUGCAUAGCAAAUCCAUAUGCGGUAAAUAGAUAAGUCACGUGGUUCUUUUCUCUUUUAUAAGUUAUCACCAAUUCACCUUUUUGUUGGACCACAUAGAUUACAGUCGACGAUAUCUGUAUUUCUGCUUUACCGGCAACUUGUUGUAAUAAAGGACAGAACCGGAUCAUAUGAUGGUUAAAUGUCACCGAUUCAAUUAUGUCAAAAUCAUAGUCAGUUUCUUAAUUACAUUUUUGAUUUGGCUAUCUCGCAAAUUCACCCUUUUUAAGGGACUCAAAACCCUUUUCUUUUAUUUUUGUUAUUGGUCGAGAAUGUGGAGCCGCCGUUAUUAGCUGAUCACCUCUUCUUUUCUUUUUGGUAUCUUCUUCUCCAUGACCAUUUCUUAUCUCCUCCCCACUUGUCUCUCCCGUGGGUCUUUUCUGCUCCUCCAUUACCAUUCAUGGGUUAGUGUGAAAGAAGGAUAGAUCAUUUUUCUUGUGUCCGUGUGUGCUGACGUUGGAGGAGACUAGAAGCACUGUUUACCACCACCGUCUCCGAUCCACUCGGCCAUCAACUGUGACUCGCCGGAGACGUUUCCCAUGUCACCGGAGCCCGGAGCGUCCGUGAUGUUAUAACCGUCAGGCUAUGUGCCAUUUUUCCAUGUUACUUUUGAGGCAAGUAACAUGUUGUCAUAAAUCUAUUUUAUUCAUAUUUGAUGAUGUCUCUCGUUUGACAUUGUUUCUUUUGAUCUGGUGCAUCUUUGGCAAUGAGGUCGACAUUAAUGGUAAAACUCUAGCUUUCUUGCUGAUCAAGUAAUUUCGUUUAUAGUCGCUUCUGGUUCUUCGUUAUUGGCUAAGGUGUUGCCGAGUGUUCGAAUAUCUGGACGGAUUGGUGUCUUGGGAUCAUUGUAUUUAUUUCGGUUUUAACUAAUGAUUUAUACGAAUUUUACAUUCGAUUUAUUUGAUAUGUUUUUAUCCUUCAAUUGAUGUAUUUCUUUUGAAUUUAUUCUAUUAAAUAUUAUGUUAUUUUGUUCGAUUUGGAAUAAAUCGGUUUAAUUUGGUAUUUUUCGGUUA